UCCCUGAUGGUCUAGUGGUUAGGACUUUGCGCUUUCACUGCUGAGGGCCCAGGUUCGAUCCCUGGUCAGGGAA
Molecule: transfer RNA, 73 nt
Filed under: Balaenoptera acutorostrata scammoni
Lineage: Eukaryota; Metazoa; Chordata; Mammalia; Artiodactyla; Balaenopteridae
Description: tRNA-Glu (TTC) (tRNA-Glu-TTC-13-1)
Rfam family: tRNA
About the family: Transfer RNA (tRNA) molecules are approximately 80 nucleotides in length.
Source: RNAcentral